Molecule: ribosomal RNA, 497 nt
Filed under: uncultured bacterium
Lineage: Bacteria
Description: partial 16S ribosomal RNA
Rfam family: Bacterial small subunit ribosomal RNA
Source: RNAcentral
GAUGAACGCUGGCGGCGUGCCUAAUACAUGCAAGUCGAGCGAACAGACGAGGAGCUUGCUCCUCUGACGUUAGCGGCGGACGGGUGAGUAACACGUGGAUAACCUACCUAUAAUACUGGGAUAACUUCGGGAAACCGGAGCUAAUACCGGAUAAUAUAUUGAACCGCAUGGUUCAAUAGUGAAAUACGGUUUUUCUGUCUCUUAUAGAUGGAUCCGCGCCUCAUUAGCUAGUUGGUAAGGUAACGGCUUACCAAGGCAACGAUGCGUAGCCGACCUGAGAGGGGGAUCGGCCACACUGGAACUGAGACACGGUCCAGACUACUACGGGAGGCAGCAGUAGGGAAUCUUCCGCAAUGGGCGAAAGCCUGACGGAGCAACGCCGCGUGAGUGAUGAAGGUCUUCGGAUCGUAAAACUCUGUUAUUAGGGAAGAACAAAUGUGUAAGUAACUAUGCACGUCUUGACGGUACCUAAUCAGAAAGCCACGGCUAACUACGUG